Molecule: long non-coding RNA, 936 nt
Organism: Syngnathus acus (greater pipefish)
Lineage: Eukaryota; Metazoa; Chordata; Actinopteri; Syngnathiformes; Syngnathidae
Exons: 2
Source: RefSeq, a predicted model, not a curated record
CCGGCAGAGAAUAACUGUGCGGCAGCAGGGUUUUAGGUCUUCAGUCAAUAGCAUCUCCUCGUUUUUACAGUAGAAACAGGGCUUCCUGCUGACAGGAUAUACUCCGUGUACUCUUCAUGGAUAAAUCCAUGUUUAUUUCUUAUUCCUAAUUAGAUUUAUGAGUAAGAUUUGCUUGACAGCUUUCAUAUUAUACUAGGGUGUGUCUGAGGUGCAGGUGCACGGGAGGCAUAACUACCAUUAGGAUCAAUCCCAGGGGAAUAAAAUCCUUAUGGUCAGUUGUUGUCUUUGGCUCCUCCUCGGUUGGGAGUUGCAAGGCUCGAGGGUGCAUCAGCCAACUUCACGGCUACAAGUGUACCAGCCCACCCUGUGAACAGCGUCAGUCCUGCUGCAACAACAUCAAGAAUGGGACGAGGUGGGAACCUGGGACACCUGACUCUUGUUGCUCCCAAGCACAAGACACAGCAGGUGCAUCUGGAUUCCGAGCCUUUUUUUAUUCGCUUUCUGCGGACAUUUAGGGAAAUCCUCAAAUUUGUCCUCUUCAGCUACACUGUGCUCUUUGGCUCCUUACUUCUCGCCCGUUGGACCACUUACUACAUGGUGGGAAAGUAAAAAGACACAGAGAUUCAACUUGCACUUGGAUGAGGAGCUCUUUAUUCAGAUUGAAGAUACUUUAUUUGGGAUUCGAAAUAAGUGUCAAUGUUUUUUCCUGCUUAAUACUUGCUACUUGAUUCCAAUCAAUAAAAUAUGAUAAUUUGGUAAGAACUGUGCACUCAUCCAAACUUGCUGAUGCCAGCUAAAAGAGCAGAAUUACAACAAUUUGAAUUGCAACUUUGCUUCUGAUGUGUUGGUGUGUGUAUUCUUCAACUUUUAAUGCAUUGGAACGUGAUCACAAUAAAUGUUAUAUCUGUCUGCAGUCAAAAACAUACAGUACAAAAA